This 36-nucleotide ribosomal RNA is filed under the name Planococcus citri (citrus mealybug). Its description in RNAcentral is "partial 18S ribosomal RNA". The record is from RNAcentral. RNAcentral also lists the same sequence under 5 other names. Lineage: Eukaryota; Metazoa; Arthropoda; Insecta; Hemiptera; Pseudococcidae.
UUUCCGUAGGUGAACCUGCGGAAGGAUCAUUAACGA